Molecule: long non-coding RNA, 4094 nt
Organism: Papaver somniferum (opium poppy)
Lineage: Eukaryota; Viridiplantae; Streptophyta; Magnoliopsida; Ranunculales; Papaveraceae
Exons: 3
Source: RefSeq, a predicted model, not a curated record
UAUUGUCCAGACCUAACCCUUCUUUUGCACGUAUGCGUUAAGAGUUUUGUGAGUAAUGACCGAUGAAUCGUUCUCUCUCCCUCCCUAGCCGCAAAAAAACCUCAAACCUCAAAUUCUUCAUUUUCCACCGCUGCUUAAUCUCUGAACUUCAAUUUCUUCAUCUGUAGAAGAUUGGAUUUUUCUGAUAUCCAUGUCUAACUUAAAUCUGUAGAAGAGAGUUGAAGUUUUUCUUAGGGUUUUCUUUUCUACUUUCAGCUUAAGGUUUCUUAAAUCAAUUUAAUUAAAUUUAAGUUGAUUUUUAUUGUGUUGAUAAUUUUAGGUCUUCGAUUUGAUUCCAACCGAAUUAAAUCUUUCUCUAUUGAAUUAAUUUAACAUCCCACCUACAUUUCAGAGAUAAGAAGAAUGGCAGCGCCACUGAUUGAGCUGUGAAUUCAUGAGCCGAUGAAGAUGGGAGGUUUAUAGUAGAUUUCUUUCUGUCUCAUAUGUUGCUGCAACUGAAACGGAACGAAAGAUGGUUGUGCUUGAACUGUAAAUGUAAAAUUCAGGGGUUAGGUUGAAGAAUAUGUGGUGCUUAGAUGGGUUCGGUUGAAAAUACAGUGAAUAUGUGGUGAUUUAAAACAUUUUCUUUCUUUUAAUUCAUUCACGUCUGACCCACUUCCAAAUCUAAUGUAGUAGAAAUUACAUAGACACAAAAAUGGAGGACGACAUCAUUUCUUCUUCUUCUCUUCGAACUAUGAUUCACUGUCAUUCUUAAAUUUUUAACAAGGGUUUUAUUUCCUCCAUUUUUAUAUUUUGAUGUAUGGAAUAAUAAUUAGAAGAUGAAUAUCGGAACUAAAUUAGCGUCAGAAAUAUCAUUAUUUUGUUUCCUCCUACAAUUGAAACCCUGACUUCAAACCUACAAAUCCUUGAUUCAAGGUUUCUGAAAUUCAAGUUCAAGUUGAUUCAAGCUUUGUUAGUACCUUCGGGAUCUAAACUGUUAAUGCCAAUUCCAUCAAAGGGGAUUUACUAAUGGGGAUUUGUAUCAACAAAUCUGCAGUGUUCAAAGAAACUACCCAGUGACUGAUACAAACCCACCUUUCGAAAAGCGAGUAAGAAAUUUCAAUACUCUCGGUUAUUUCGUUAAUCACCACCAUCAAUGCUAUUUCUGCAUGGUGACCCAAUGAGUAUUAAUUUUAAUUUUUUUCUUAUUUUUUGUGGAAUUUGAUUGAUUAGUCAUUGUAGGGUUGAUUCAAUUUCUGAUUUUUAGAUUGAAUAUGUGUUGGAAUUAUUGGGGUUUAAUUAGAAGCUAAGAAUCAGUAUGCUUGGAUUUGGCUGAUAGAAUUCCUAAAGCUCUAGAGGAGGUAAAAGGUAAGAAGAUAUGUGAUCAAUUGGUUUUCUUGAGUUUGAAAUAUUAUGUAUAUAAUCCCUGCAGCUAUGGUAACAUCAGAGAUUGGGGACAGGUUUAUCUACAUUGAUGAAUUUAUUAUGGUAUCUAACUUCAUCAAUUGAUCUCUUUCGAUAUCGAUAUUUUCCUGUAACUCAUAGAUGAUCGACCAUAUGACGGGUUACAAUUUCUGAGUUUGCAUUACUAUCCAUAAGUUCAAUUACAUUCUGUUAUGAAGUCUCGCGUGAUGCUAAUAUUGUUUGUUUGCAGUUAUGGAUCUUUGGGAUUUAUUUUUCUCUCACGUUGAGAUUUCCUUGGUGUUUGCGGAAAACACAAUCAAACAAAUAUCUCCGAGGUGCACAUAUCUUAGCCAAGGGUAACUUACUCAAUGCAUAACUGCUUAAAAUGCCUUCAUUUACAAGUUAUAAGUACGGUUAAUAUACAGUGAUGGCUAAAGAUUAUGGCUUUACUUUUUUCUUGGUGCGAAGACCCAAAUACUUUUGCUGCCAAAGACAUAAACCUAUUUGUAGUUAGAACCAGCAGACCUUAACUUUUACAAGAUUGUAAAUAUGCAGAGUGACUGCCUACCAGAUUUGUCCUCCCAACAGAUAAAUCAACGGCUUUGGUUAAUCCUUUCUAAUAUUUGUGAUAAAAUUGUUAUUCAUGUAUGAAUUGUUAAGGGCCUCCGUAGCCAGGCCUCAACUUCCUUUGCAUUAAAUUAUCGCAAAUGUUUUUCUUUUCUGUUUUGUUUGUCAGAGACACAAAAUGUAGAGUUUUACCGUUCUUUUUUUAGUUAUUACGUUCAGGUGAAUUACUUACAUAAGCAUGGACUUGCCCAUACUGAGUUAAAGUUAGAAAAUGUGCAUAUAGGUACAGUGGAUAGGCAUAAGUAAGUUGUUAUUAGCCACAAGUGCAUCCUAUUUUAUCCCUGCAAUCCUAGAAAAAUGCCAUAUUUAACAUGACCUUUUUUUGUCAUUAUACUCUCAUCAUUUGAUUUGUUAAAUAGCUGGUAUUCCAAGUGAUGCAGCGAGAAAGUGGAUACGGUAUAAGUAGUAUGAUAUUGUUUAUGUGCCAUAUUUGGGGUUUCUAUUGUUGGUAAACUAGGAUGCAGUUAAUGGUCAAACCUUUAAACUGGGGCUACCAUGGUGACUGCUUCUUAAACCCUGGACCAACAACGAAAACGUUAAUAUGAGCCACCGAGCAAGCAAGACUUUCUUAUAUAAAUUGAAGUACAUGUUCAUCUAGGAUACGUUUUCGAGUUCUUAUGCCAUUUUUAAUCACCAGCUGAAAUAGUUGUGUCGUUUCUCGGGAUUCAUGGGGAGGGUAAAAGUUUAUGUACCUAUGUAUUCGGCUAUGUACUUUAUUUAGCUACAAGAAAGAGAAAAGAGAAUUAACCAUGAAAACUAGAAGUAAGCUUGAUUGAGUCAUCUGCAUAGUCGGCCCAAAGUCAGAACUUCUUUCAUAACAACUUCUUUCAUAAUAUGCCCUAGAUCCUUUUGCUUACAGUAAGUUAAAACUUCCAAUUACAGCAUGGGCCAUAAAGUCUACCAUAAUAUUACUUUAAAUCAGUAUAGCAUUUUCGGCACUUAAUAAUUACUACAUUUCAUCAUGCUUCAUAUCAUUUGUGCACCUGUAUCUUUUCUUUCGUUUUUCCUUAAUAUAGUUCUGCAGGGAUCGGUCCUGAUGGUCAGAAAUUUCCUUUUAUUCCCAAGGGCGUCUAGAAAUUGAAUUUUACUGGAGGCAGGGGAGUAACAACUGCUUGAGUUAAGGAUUAGAAUUGGUGGGGUCUAAUGAUGGAACAUGGGACUACCAAAAGAGUGCACGACGUAUAUUGUUGCAAAUAGGUUCCGAGGAGAGUUGGUAAAGACAAUAACAAAGACGGAAUGAUCCCCCUCAUGUAAUUAACGGAUAUUGCAGAUACUCACUUUGCUUCGAUACAUCCAUAUGUCCGUGCCACUUCAAUAUGGUAUUUGCUUAUAUCAAAUUUCUGAAUCAUCUUACACCUUUGUCUAAUGAUGGAAUCCUUUUGAAGUUUUUCAAUAGUUGGGUUUUCAAGGCCUCUUCCUUAAUUUUUAGGAGGUCAUUUGGAACUUGGCAUGUUUAUAUUUUUUAAUUGAUCAUUUAUAGGAUAGAUUGCUGCUCCUUUGAAUUGUAUUUCUUUUCCUUUGAGAAGCCGAGUAUCAACCACGUCAAAAGUUGGGAGCCAUACCAAACUCAUAUCUUUCUUCCAAGGAACUAUCUUUAAGCGAGAUCAGUGGCAAAACGGGAGACUCUAUUAUGUGCCGCAAGUAGAAGAGGAGGAGAUGGAGGCCUUGGCUCUCUUCUAUUAGUUCAUCACCAGCGUAGCAGAUUGUAUUUCAAAACCAUACUCAUCUUCAAUAUAUUUGCAUCAGCUACUACAGAAAAAUAUAGGGUAUUGUAAUGGAUUUAUACAACAGGGAUAUGGCUGCUGCUGACGAUGAAGCAGUACGCCGCCAUUGAUGAUUUCGGCUAUGUUGUUUUUCUUUUGAGAUUUACGAUUCAGUUAUGUGUGCAUCUUUGGCCCAAAAUUUCAUAACUGAAUCUUUGGCCCAAAAUUGUUUCGGUAAUAGUGUUACUGAUGUAAAGUAUGCUUUUUUGGUUCUUCAAGGGGUGCAGUAGAGCAGAGAUGAGUCUAGACAAGGAAAACUCAAUACAUUUGUCCUUCAGAAAUCCAUUAAUCUUACUUUCAAGAUGUUAAGGAAUUGUUUAA